AAUGUUCAGUGUUGGAAUUGGCCAGAAGUGUCCUAUGCACAGAGCAAUGGGAUGCUUGACGGGACAAAGGUGUAGGGGCGGGCAGAGUAGCCCUCUGUACCUUUUUAAACUAAAGACAAGCCAACUGCUUUCUACAUUUUAUUUAGUGAAGGAAAAAAAAAAACGUCCAGGUGAGAGGUAACUACCUCUUCGUUGCAUCAGUCUCACUCAUGCAGUUUUGAGUUGAGACAACCAGCUUGAAGCUGUUACCUGUAGGUGGUGUCGUGAACACUGCAGUGUUAUGGAGGGCAGGGGUUUUGACACAGGUUGGCAGCAGAGGCCGAAGUCUUUUCCACUUUCCAACCCCGUGGAUGAUAUGCCACCUGGCUGACUUCGACUCACCCAACCUGGGACGGUUGACCUUCAGGGCCUCCUGGACUCGGAGCAGCGUAGGAGAGAUCUGGAAGUCAGUCUGGCUCGGGUCGAAAGUGCUCUGCAGAAACAGAGGCUCCGACUGCUCCAGAGAAUGGGCUGAGGGAGCCGACAUGCACAACCCCAGAUACUUGUUUUGAAUCUUCGGCAGAUCAAACGACCAGUAAAACUCCAUCCCAGACUGUUAUCAGGGAAUGUCUACAUCCCACCAUGUGGUGACCUUUACUGAAGGAGCGAGACAACCUUGAGCAUCUGUUGGAGGAGUCUAGGGCCUGGUGGAGCAGGUAAGGGAUACCUCAGAGGCCCGUAUGGAAGCCCUCCACUCCCAGCUGUAUUAGGAACGCUUCAGCCUCCAGGAAACACACAGAGACUGGCCACAAAGACAGAGCAACAUGGCAGCAAGCAGGUGGAGCCAUGGAAGACCAGACCAACUAAACUGGUACAGGGAUUCACACCCAAAAUGGAUUCAGGUGGUUCCUUAUACACUUCGUAUUUGUACAGAAGCAUGUAAUCUUGCCAGACAUCUCGGUAGUAUCUAACCCAGGCCUCACCGGAUAAGGCUAACAGAAAACUGAAAGGGGUUGUGAACCAGUAGAAGUCAGGUUUUACCAAUCAUCACACCAGUUGUGAGUAGCCACACAACAGUUGUCUCUAUAAUAAUGCCACAGUAAAGACAUAUACUAUUUUGUGUAACACCACUUUGUUGGCUGAUGAUCUGCAGAUGAAUGAGUCCCUGUAAAGGGAGGUGGUGUCUCUCAGACAGAGGCUGGGGUCUGCAGAGGAGUGACCAACCUGAUGGAGAGUGACAGGCUACUCAGGGUUCUCCUAGCGGCACCGGAGACUGAGCGGGAGGAGCUGCUUCAACAAGGACACCCCUCAGCCCUUGGGUAAGGAACCCCCAGCCUCUAAUAUUGGUGCACUUCGAGGGCUGAAAGAAUCAGAUGGAUAAAAUCAAUGUGGUUCUACUUUGCUCUUUUUAUAGGCUGGGUAGAAUGUCCUCCGUAUUACUGCCUUACGCCUAUCCAAACCUUAUGGUCGUCAUAGAGUAUGGGUGGAUUUGGGAUGGAAUCAGUAUCUCUACCUUUAUCUUGAGGUAAUGGAGAAUUUUAUUUUCUCAUUGUUUUCACUCUUUGCAUCAUCAGAGUGCUGAUAGCUCCAGAACACGGAGAAACAGUCAGACUUCUAACGGAGGAACAAAAACCAGUGGUUUGUCAGUCCAAUUGGAAAUGGUCAGACUUAUAAAGGAAGAGCCAGAAGCAUGGGUUUGUCAGUCCACAUCUUUUUGUCUCUUAGGAGCACUUGGGAAACGAAAGUGGAAAUCUUUGGAAAGGAGGAGAGGGUGAGGGAGGAGAGUGCCGUGUAUGAAAUGGAGGAACAAGAUGAGGAGGAGAGAUUGGAAGGGAAUAAUGUGUCUGUUAUUCAUCUGCAGUCAAAAUUCAGUGAGGACUUAAGAUCCGUGAGGUGACCCACUCUAGGCCUGGCCCACAGAAAGAAAUAAAGGAAGAGAACCUGGUAACUGCCUCUUUGGGAGUCCUUUCCUACAGCACCAUGUCACGUUGAAGCGGUCUAACAUGUGGCAGACUGAUUCCUUUCAAACAUACCUCUCCUCCAAACUCCACUUCAGCAGUUCCCAAACUUUCAUUUAACAUAUAAAAAUGUGAUAUAAUAUAACAAGCAUAUAUUUUUUUUAAACCUGAGAUAUUAUGUAUUAUACUUCCAGUACUUUAUGUUAAAAUAUCACUUUAGUAAAGUUCAUGCAACCUGAGAACCAUUUUUAUGCCAAGAUGCUACUUUUUGCAGUUUACUGUGCUACAUGCUUCACCAUCCAGUAUAUGCCAACACAUGCUGAAUAGACAAGCUAUAGACAUACCUAUGAGUUAUGUGUAUUGUGGAUUUCUGAGGAUUCUCUGGCUUAGAAUACUGCUGAUCAAAGAUAAUUCUAGACAGUCUCUGCCUCUGGUCUGUGAGGGGAAAGAGGGGAAUCUGGAGAGCCCAUUCUCUAACAGCUGUGCUCAAAUCUGGCUAUGUAUACAUUAUAACAACCUUAUGUAACAGCAAGCUUGUUACAGCCACAAAGCCCAUGACCAAUGUCCAUUUCUUCAUGUAACACCCAAUUACACUGGUUGACACAGAGUGCCAUUGUCUUAGUCUGAGGACUCUGACAUGUUCUUGUUUAUUGUUGAGGCUGGUGAGGAGUUUUGAUUUCUGGCUUAAGCUAAUACUAAUCCCUCUCUGAGACUAUUUUCUUUGGCCCUGAGCUUGUGGUCCACGGUGCACUGCCUUUUACUGCCCUGGUCCCCGAGGACACAUAAACAUGGAUUCGUGGGAUAUGCAGACUGGGAAGACAUGGUUGGAAUACCGCAGGGCUAGACACUUUCUCUCACCGAUAUGACACUGUCAUUAUGAAAGGACCAAUCAGAGCUGGGUGAUAAUGAUGUCAUUAUGAAGGACUAAUCGGAGAGAAGGGUUAAGACAGAACUACGUUUAGGAUGUAAAGAAAGCACUCCUAGAUAGCAGUAUUUUUCUUUGAAAAAUAUGUAAAGACGGUUAUUUUGUAUUUAUAUUAUUAUCAUAAUAUAUGCCAUUUAGCAGUUGCUUUUAUCCAAAAUGACUUAGUCAUGCGUGCAUACGUUUUAAGUCUGGGUGGUCCUGGGAAUCAAACCCACUAUCCUGAUGUUGCAUGCACCAUGCUCUACCAACUUAGCUACUUCAUAUUUUCCUCUGUUCUUUUCACUUCCAAGUACACUGCUUACUCAGGAAUAGGUGUUACAUAAUGUUAUUACAUUCAUACUGACCAAUCCUGGCACUUUAUUCAUGGAGCAUACUGGACUAAUCUCCCCCUACAGUUUAGCUGAUCUUGCACUAAUGUUAUUUGUUGCAACUGAGAGGUAUGUGCCCAAAACCAUGUACUUAUGGCUGUCUGGCUGAUGCAACGUUGCAUGACUCCACACUGGCACAGACCGCACAGACAGUCCUUCUUGAUUGAGGAAGCUGGAAACUUCCUACUCACUAACACUCUCACUUUAUUCUUCCACCUUCUUCUCUGUUACAUUCUCUCGCUCUCUCUCAUUAUGAGGAAAUGGGAUGAUCCCUGUCAUGAGAUUUUCCAUUGACGUCAUCAGAGUCCAAGAUUUCCAUGUGUUCUCAGUGUAUGCUUGUCCCUGUUGCUUUUUAACAGCCCCAUGUCUGCUAAUUUCAACGGCGAUACAAACAUCAAACUAGGUAUGUUUCAUGUUAACAUUGCUCCACAAUUGACUCCUGAUAAGUACACUUCAGAUACUGUAAGUGUAAUCUGUUUUAGUGCAAUAAAGUUGCAUUUACCAGACGUUGACUGUAAUCCAAAAUAACUACUAUUCAUACAAUGUUAAUGCAACCCUAUCAUUCCAUGUACAGAACCUGCAGGAAUCCUAGCGCAAAUCCUCCUUUUGAAAACCCAGGAGUUACACCAGCAGGUAAGAAUGAAAACAAAUAGUCAUGUGGAGAUUGAAUAGAUACACCUCCCUGUUUCACAUAAAAUGUCUUCCAUGCGUUCCAUUCCAUCUACUACAUAAUGAUGUACUUCGGUUUCACAGGCGGAGAAAGUCCUGGCGGUGAGGCACAUUCUUAGUUAAAAAGAUGCUAUCUACAACCUAAAAGGGUUCUUUGGAUAUCCCCAUAGGAGACCUCUUUGAGUUCCAUGUAGAACCCUUGCCACAGACGGUUCUACAUGGAACCCAAAAGAGUUCCCCUAUGGGAACAGCCGAAGAACACUUUUGGAACAUUUUUUUCUUCCCUAAGUGUAGCCACAGAUGGCAGACUUGGUGCCCUUGGGACCAGUAUUUGUCAUGAAGCUUAACUUUAUACCGUCCUUCCUCAUCUGUGUCUCAUCUCAGGACAGAGAGAAGGGGCUGGUAUUUGUCAGUCGCUGGAAUUCAUGGCAGCCAGUCCAGUCAGUCAUUGGCAUCAUCAUAAUCAAAUUCUUAGUAUCACCUCACACCAAGUUGCCCAUAUAUCUAUAUACCAGGCGGUGUCAGACUGUUCUUUCUGCUACUGCACGGCAAGCGGUACCGGAACACCAAGUCCAAGAGGCUUCUGCUUCUACCCCCAAAC
Oncorhynchus mykiss (rainbow trout) is the source of this 4500-nucleotide non-coding RNA. NCBI's taxonomy places the organism in Eukaryota, Metazoa, Chordata, Actinopteri, Salmoniformes, Salmonidae. The record is from RefSeq and is a predicted model, not a curated record.